CAUAAACGGUGCCGCAUCAUUGCCACGUACUUAUAGUAUAUGAUAUAACCUGAGCAUUGUCCAAUUUGCACGUGAUUUCACACGAAAAAACAUUUACGGUACACGUUUAUCAAGCUUUUCUUUAACACAGCGCGGCGGCUCCGAAAUGUUUGUUAAAACCGAACAAAUGAAAAAAGGUUCUUGGAAGUUUCUUUAUUGAAAACUAGCUUUUGGUAGCGGCUUCGCUCGUGUGAAAGAUAAAAGGAGCGAUUUCGUCAUGCAUUAUUGUGAGAAUGAGUUCCUGGAUUCGGCAGCGAUGGAUCAAGAUAGGUAAACAGCGAUCGUCUUGAAACGAACGAACAAGACGAACUUAUUCCUUUCAGCUUCAGUCUUCGAAACGUCAAGAGCAAAUUAUAAUAUUAAA
Manduca sexta (tobacco hornworm) is the source of this 403-nucleotide long non-coding RNA. RefSeq lists it as uncharacterized. NCBI's taxonomy places the organism in Eukaryota, Metazoa, Arthropoda, Insecta, Lepidoptera, Sphingidae. The transcript has 3 exons. The record is from RefSeq and is a predicted model, not a curated record.